AACCAAUUCAAUCUGGCAAAGGUAGCAUUUCUGCUAUGUGGUAGCUGCGGACUAGCAUAAAAGUAACAUAAACCUUGUUUCGAGAAGGACCUGGCGCGAGAUUGAACUUGCAAGACUGAGACAUUGCGUUCACGUCUGCUUUUCCUUGAGACAAUUUCUGAUGUUUUCAGGAACCAUAUUAUGAUUUGAUCAGAUGUGUGGGAUCGCAUAGUGUGAAGGACCCUGGAAUGAGGCAUGCCAACCAGAUUGCUUCUUUUUGCAGUACUGCACGUGCUGAUUGUUGGGUUGAGUGGAGACCCAACAGCAGAGGUCAAAUGGAAGAGCAAACGAUCUCAAAUCGUGCAUCACAGUCUGGACAAGUCCCAUAAGCAUUCCCAGCGGGAGGCUGGAUGGCUACCUGCGCAGGACUCCUGCGC
RNAcentral lists this long non-coding RNA (416 nucleotides) under Coccomyxa subellipsoidea. RNAcentral's name for it is "long non-coding RNA (CSUB_LNC000268)". The record is from RNAcentral. Lineage: Eukaryota; Viridiplantae; Chlorophyta; Trebouxiophyceae; Coccomyxaceae.